GGGGGUAACGGCCCACCAAACCGAGGAUGGAUAGGGGUUCUGAGAGGAAGGUCCCCCACAUUGAAAGUGAGACACGGUCCAAACUCCUACGGGAGGCAGCAGUGAGGAAUAUUGGUCAAUGGGCGAGAGCCUGAACCAGCCAAGUAGCGUGAAGGAUGACUGCCCUAUGGGUUGUAAACUUCUUUUAUGCGGGAAUAACAAGCGGCACGUGUGCCGUUCUGCAUGUACCGUAUGAAUAAGCAUCGGCUAACUCCGUGCCAGCAGCCGCGGUAAUACGGAGGAUGCGAGCGUUAUCCGGAUUUAUUGGGUUUAAAGGGAGCGCAGACGGGUCUUUAAGUCAGUUGUGAAAGUUUGCGGCUCAACCGUAAAAUUGCAGUUGAUACUGGAGACCUUGAGUGCGGUAUAGGCAGGCGGAAUUCGUGGUGUAGCGGUGAAAUGCUUAGAUAUCACGAAGAACUCCGAUUG
Molecule: ribosomal RNA, 465 nt
Filed under: uncultured Bacteroidales bacterium
Lineage: Bacteria; Pseudomonadati; Bacteroidota; Bacteroidia; Bacteroidales
Description: bacterial SSU rRNA
Rfam family: Bacterial small subunit ribosomal RNA
Source: RNAcentral